Molecule: ribosomal RNA, 837 nt
Filed under: Austroafricana associata
Lineage: Eukaryota; Fungi; Ascomycota; Dothideomycetes; Mycosphaerellales; Teratosphaeriaceae
Description: partial 28S ribosomal RNA
Rfam family: Eukaryotic large subunit ribosomal RNA
Source: RNAcentral
ACAGGGAUUGCCCUAGUAACGGCGAGUGAAGCGGCAACAGCUCAAAUUUGAAAUCUGGCGCAAGCCCGAGUUGUAAUUUGUAGAGGAUGCUUCUGGGCAGCGGCCGGUCUAAGUUCCUUGGAACAGGACGUCAUAGAGGGUGAGAAUCCCGUAUGUGACUGGCUCGCACCCGCUACGUAGCUCCUUCGACGAGUCGAGUUGUUUGGGAAUGCAGCUCUAAAUGGGUGGUAAAUGUCAUCUAAAGCUAAAUACCGGCCAGAGACCGAUAGCGCACAAGUAGAGUGAUCGAAAGAUGAAAAGCACUUUGGAAAGAGAGUUAAAAAGCACGUGAAAUUGUUGAAAGGGAAGGGCAUGCAACCAGACUUGUCGGCGGUGUUCCGCCGGUCUUCUGACCGGUUCAUUCGCCGCCGGCAGGCCAGCAUCGUCUGGGUGCGCCGGAUAAAGGUGUCGGGAAUGUGGCCCCUCGGGGUGUUAUAGCUCGUCACACAAUACGGCGCCGCUCGGGCGAGGUCCGCGCUUCGGCUAGGAUGCUGGCGUAAUGGUUGUCUGCCGCCCGUCUUGAAACACGGACCAAGGAGUCUAACAUCUAUGCGAGUGUUCGGGUGUCAAACCCCUACGCGGAAUGAAAGUGAACGGAGGUGGGAACUUUUUGUGCACCAUCGACCGAUCCUGAUGUCUUCGGAUGGAUUUGAGUAAGAGCAUAGCUGUUGGGACCCGAAAGAUGGUGAACUAUGCCUGAAUAGGGUGAAGCCAGAGGAAACUCUGGUGGAGGCUCGCAGCGGUUCUGACGUGCAAAUCGAUCGUCAAAUUUGGGUAUAGGGGCGAAAGACUAAUCGA